This 500-nucleotide ribosomal RNA is filed under the name Halobacillus sp. L6. Its description in RNAcentral is "bacterial SSU rRNA". It matches the Rfam family "Bacterial small subunit ribosomal RNA", at positions 8 to 475 of the family's 1533-position model. Lineage: Bacteria; Bacillati; Bacillota; Bacilli; Caryophanales; Bacillaceae. The record is from RNAcentral.
AGAGUUUGAUCCUGGCUCAGGACGAACGCUGGCGGCGUGCCUAAUACAUGCAAGUCGAGCGCGGGAAGCGAGUGGAUCCCUUCGGGGUGAAGCUCGUGGAACGAGCGGCGGACGGGUGGGUAACACGUGGGCAACCUGCCUGUAAGAUCGGAAUAACCCCGGGAAACCGGGGCUAAUGCCGGGUAAUACUUUCUUUCGCAUGAAGGAAAGUUGAAAGAUGGCUUCUUGCUAUCACUUACAGAUGGGCCCGCGGCGCAUUAGCUAGUUGGUGAGGUAACGGCUCACCAAGGCGACGAUGCGUAGCCGACCUGAGAGGGUGAUCGGCCACACUGGGACUGAGACACGGCCCAGACUCCUACGGGAGGCAGCAGUAGGGAAUCUUCCGCAAUGGACGAAAGUCUGACGGAGCAACGCCGCGUGAACGAUGAAGGUCUUCGGAUCGUAAAGUUCUGUUGUUAGGGAAGAACAAGUACCGUGCGAAUAGAGCGGUACCUUGACGG